UAAUAAGUGUUUAUGGCACUUCUUAAAUCCAUAUCCACCUUGUGUGCAAUGUCAGCCGUUUUCUUUAUGAAAGCAGCCAAACAUCAACUUAUUUUUUAACUGUCUGUCUGAAAACUAUUAUGAAUAAACAAUUCAAAUA
Molecule: unclassified non-coding RNA, 139 nt
Filed under: soil metagenome
Description: partial internal transcribed spacer 1
Source: RNAcentral